Molecule: long non-coding RNA, 774 nt
Filed under: Equus asinus (donkey)
Lineage: Eukaryota; Metazoa; Chordata; Mammalia; Perissodactyla; Equidae
Description: lncRNA (ENSEASG00005038541.1)
Source: RNAcentral
UCCUGGGAACCAGCAUUAUCUCUUUCUAUGAGUUCAACUUUUUUUUUUAGAUUCCACAUAUAAGUGAGAUGAUGCAGUAUUUGUCUUUCUCUGUCUGGCUAAUUUCACUCUGCACAAUGUCCUCUAGAUUCAUCCAUUGUUGCAAAUGGCAGAUAUUGCUUGUACAGCAAUUCCUUCUCUGCUGGAGAUUCUCCUGAGACUUUCAUCAGCUAUAACCAAGGAAGCUGGUGGGGAUGGUCUGUGCUUGAUCCUAAAAAGAGAGGAGAGCAUCUCAUUGCCCAUAAUGCCAAGACAAGCUGCAGAGGGAGUGGGGCUCAAUAAACGCUUGCAGUUGAAUGGAAUUGUAUACUCCUUGUGCUCAUAUCAUCUGCUUCUCUACAACCAAGCCCUGUUCAAUGGGAGUCAAGGUGUCAGGGGUUUCAGAAGCAAUCACUCCUGCUUUGUUCUCCCAAGUAUCUGGAUAUUUCUAUCACAGCAACUCUAGUCAUUGUAUUUCCUGUACUGAUUCACACGUCUGUCUGGACGAAACAAUUUUACUCAAAUUCUUCACUUACAUUUUGACACGUGUCUUCAUCUUCGGGAGAGUCACUUUUUGAGCCAUCUAACAGUUUUCCAACUUCAAAUCUUUUGAAAUAAAAGAAUUUUUAAAUUGUUUGAGAUAAAAAUACCUUUGAAUUGGCAUAUGGUGCAAUAAUUGGGAAUUUUAUCCACCAACAAAAUAGCCAAUAGUGAAACAGUAAGACAGUUGUUUUUCAUUGUCUUUUAAGACAUUUA